RNAcentral lists this ribosomal RNA (526 nucleotides) under uncultured bacterium. RNAcentral describes it as "bacterial SSU rRNA". It matches the Rfam family "Bacterial small subunit ribosomal RNA", at positions 366 to 897 of the family's 1533-position model. The record is from RNAcentral.
CGUUCAAUGGGCGCAAGCCUGAACGAGCAACGCCGCGUGGAGGAUGACGGCCUUCGGGUUGUAAACUCCUUUUCCGGGGGGACGAUGAUGACGGUACCCUGGGAAUAAGGCUCGGCUAACUCUGUGCCAGCAGCCGCGGUAAUACAGAGGAGCCAAGCGUUGUCCGGAUUGACUGGGCGUAAAGCGCACGCAGGCGGUCCGGCGCGUGGGGUGUGAAAUCUGGCCGCUUAACGGCCAGGCGCCAUCCCAUACGGCCGGACUGGAGGGCUGCAGAGGUCGAUGGAAUUGCCGGUGUAGUGGUGAAAUGCGUAGAGAUCGGCAGGAACACCCAGGGGGAAACCAGUCGACUGGGCAGCACCUGACGCUGAGGUGCGAGAGCGUGGGGAGCGAACCGGAUUAGAUACCCGGGUAGUCCACGCCGUAAACGAUGGCCACUCGGCCGUUUGGGGGCGGAACAUCCGUCCGGUGGGGGCCUUAGCUAACGGCGGGAAGUGGCCCGCCGUGGGAACUACGAGCGCAAGACUUA